GUAGGAGGGCAGGUAAGUCAGUGGUGAAAUCCCCGAGCUUAACUUGGGAACUGCCGUUGAUACUAUCUGUCUUGAAUAUUGUGGAGGUAAGCGGAAUAUGUCAUGUAGCGGUGAAAUGCUUAGAUAUGACAUAGAACACCAAUUGCGAAGGCAGCUUGCUACACAAUCAUUGACUCUGAUGCACGAAAGCGUGGGGAUCAAACAGGAUUAGAUACCCUGGUAGUCCACGCCCUAAACGAUGGAUACUCGACAUCAGCGAUACACUGUUGGUGUCUGAGCGAAAGCAUUAAGUAUCCCACCUGGGAAGUACGACCGCAAGGUUGAAACUCAAAGGAAUUGG
This 340-nucleotide ribosomal RNA is filed under the name uncultured bacterium. RNAcentral's name for it is "bacterial SSU rRNA". It matches the Rfam family "Bacterial small subunit ribosomal RNA", at positions 571 to 913 of the family's 1533-position model. The record is from RNAcentral.